UGCCAGCCGCCGCGGUAAGACGAGGGGUCCUAGCGUUGUUCGGAAUUACUGGGCGUAAAGCGGGUGUAGGCGGAUUCGCAAGUCAGAUGUGAAAUCCCGGGGCUCAACUCCGGAAUUGCAUUUGAUACUGCGGAUCUUGAGUAUUGGAGAGGAUAGUGGAAUUCCUGGUGUAGUGGUGAAAUACGUAGAUAUCAGGAGGAACAUCGGUGGCGAAGGCGACUGUCUGGCCAAAUACUGACGCUCAGACCCGAAAGCGUGGGGAGCAAACAGGAUUAGAUA
RNAcentral lists this ribosomal RNA (279 nucleotides) under uncultured bacterium. RNAcentral's name for it is "partial 16S ribosomal RNA". It matches the Rfam family "Bacterial small subunit ribosomal RNA", at positions 506 to 784 of the family's 1533-position model. The record is from RNAcentral.